RNAcentral lists this ribosomal RNA (484 nucleotides) under uncultured bacterium. RNAcentral describes it as "partial 16S ribosomal RNA". It matches the Rfam family "Bacterial small subunit ribosomal RNA", at positions 30 to 507 of the family's 1533-position model. The record is from RNAcentral.
AUUGAACGCUGGCGGCAGGCCUAACACAUGCAAGUCGAGCGGAUGAAGGGAGCUUGCUCCUGGAUUCAGCGGCGGACGGGUGAGUAAUGCCUAGGAAUCUGCCUGGUAGUGGGGGAUAACGUCCGGAAACGGGCGCUAAUACCGCAUACGCCCUGAGGGAGAAAGUGGGGGAUCUUCGGACCUCACGCUAUCAGAUGAGCCUAGGUCGGAUUAGCUAGUUGGUGGGGUAAAGGCCUACCAAGGCGACGAUCCGUAACUGGUCUGAGAGGAUGAUCGGUCACACUGGAACUGAGACACGGUCCAGACUCCUACGGGAGGCAGCAGUGGGGAAUAUUGGACAAUGGGCGAAAGCCUGAUCCAGCCAUGCCGCGUGUGUGAAGAAGGUCUUCGGAUUGUAAAGCACUUUAAGUUGGGAGGAAGGGCAGUAAGUUAAUACCUUGCUGUUUUGACGUUACCAACAGAAUAAGCACCGGCUAACUUCGUG